Molecule: ribosomal RNA, 336 nt
Filed under: uncultured Streptococcus sp.
Lineage: Bacteria; Bacillati; Bacillota; Bacilli; Lactobacillales; Streptococcaceae
Description: bacterial SSU rRNA
Rfam family: Bacterial small subunit ribosomal RNA
Source: RNAcentral
AUGGUUGUCGUCAGCUCGUGUCGUGAGAUGUUGGGUUAAGUCCCGCAACGAGCGCAACCCCUAUUGUUAGUUGCCAUCAUUCAGUUGGGCACUCUAGCGAGACUGCCGGUAAUAAACCGGAGGAAGGUGGGAUGACGUCAAAUCAUCAUGCCCCUUAUGACCUGGGCUACACACGUGCUACAAUGGUUGGUACAACGAGUUGCGAGUCGGUGACGGCGAGCUAAUCUCUUAAAGCCAAUCUCAGUUCGGAUUGUAGGCUGCAACCUCGCCUACAUGAAGUCGGAAUCGCUAGUAAUCGCGGAUCAGCACGCCGCGGUGAAUACGUUCCCGGGCCUU